UGUCCAGUAGCACCUUAGAGACCAACUAAGUUUGUUCUUGGUUCUUGGCAUGCACGCGGAAGCUUAUGCCAAGAACAAACUUAGUUGGUCUCUAAGAUGCUACUGGACA
Podarcis lilfordi (Lilford's wall lizard) is the source of this 109-nucleotide non-coding RNA. NCBI's taxonomy places the organism in Eukaryota, Metazoa, Chordata, Lepidosauria, Squamata, Lacertidae. The record is from the annotation of a GenBank genome assembly.